GAUGAACGCUAGCGGCGCGCCUUAUGCAUGCAAGUCGUACGGUUUAUCGCAAGAUAGACAGUGGCAAACGGGUGAGUAAUAGUUAGGUAACCUGCCUUUAAGUGGGGGAUAACACUUCGAAAGAAGUGCUAAUACCGCAUGUGGUGCUCUUUCAUAAGAAGGAUCACUAAAACCGCAAGGUGCUUGAAGAGGGGCCUGACCCCGAUUAGCUAGUUGGUGAGGUAACGGCCCACCAAGGCUGGGAUCGGUAGCUGGUCUGAGAGGAUGGUCAGCCACACUGGGACUGAGACACGGCCCAGACUCCUACGGGUGGCAG
RNAcentral lists this ribosomal RNA (316 nucleotides) under uncultured Chloroflexota bacterium. RNAcentral's name for it is "bacterial SSU rRNA". It matches the Rfam family "Bacterial small subunit ribosomal RNA", at positions 28 to 351 of the family's 1533-position model. The record is from RNAcentral. Lineage: Bacteria; Bacillati; Chloroflexota.